RNAcentral lists this RNase P RNA (346 nucleotides) under Desulfuromonas sp. Its description in RNAcentral is "RNase P RNA component class A". It matches the Rfam family "Bacterial RNase P class A". From Rfam's summary of the family: Ribonuclease P (RNase P) is a ubiquitous endoribonuclease, found in archaea, bacteria and eukarya as well as chloroplasts and mitochondria. Its best characterised activity is the generation of mature 5'-ends of tRNAs by cleaving the 5'-leader elements of precursor-tRNAs. The record is from RNAcentral. Lineage: Bacteria; Pseudomonadati; Thermodesulfobacteriota; Desulfuromonadia; Desulfuromonadales; Desulfuromonadaceae.
GGAGAAGGACAGACGAUCGCCGGCUCCUUUAGAGGGGCGGGAGGAAAGUCCGGGCUCCGCAGGGCAGGAUGGUCCUUAACGGGGACCGGGGGCGACCCCAGGGAAAGUGCCACAGAGAGAAGACCGCCUGCUAUCGCCUUGUGCGUUGGCAGGUAAGGGUGAAAGGGUGAGGUAAGAGCUCACCAGUGCCGGCGGCGACGUCGGCAGCUCGGUAAACCCCAUCCGGAGCAAGNNCCGGGUUGGCUGCUUGAGGCCGUCGGUAACGGCGGUCCUAGAGGAAUGAUCGUCACCCUGUCCCGGGUAACCGGGGGAGGGAACAGAACCCGGCUUACGACCUUCUCCGGCC